Non-coding RNA from Erinaceus europaeus (western European hedgehog), 276 nucleotides. NCBI's taxonomy places the organism in Eukaryota, Metazoa, Chordata, Mammalia, Eulipotyphla, Erinaceidae. The record is from Rfam.
GGAUAUGAGGACAAUCUGGCUGCGGUAUCUGUCACCCCACUGAUCGCCAGGGUUGAUCUGGCUGAGUUGGCUCAUUAGGCGGGUGUCUUCCUCCGUCACUGGUCCAAUGUGUGUACCUCAUGAAGCUGCAGUGGGCCGACUGGUCUUCAGUCAAGGGUAUACGAUUAAUUGCGCUCCCCUGCUACAACCUCCAAACAAACUCUCAACACAGAAGGAAAUGGGGGACCAGGUUCAAGCUCCUUGCUCCCCACCUGUACGGAAGAAGCUUCAGGAACA